Hemicordylus capensis (graceful crag lizard) is the source of this 736-nucleotide long non-coding RNA. RefSeq lists it as uncharacterized. The record is from RefSeq and is a predicted model, not a curated record. The transcript is spliced from 2 exons. NCBI's taxonomy places the organism in Eukaryota, Metazoa, Chordata, Lepidosauria, Squamata, Cordylidae.
UCAGUACAUUGGUUGCCUCUCGCUGCACAUCUUCCUUCCUCUCCCGUGGGCGGCUGCGAGCGGGGCUGGGCCUGGCGCUGCUCCCCUAACGGGAUCAGAGCCUUAAUUCUCACCCGCCAGCUCGGCUGCCUCUCCGGCUGUACUGUGAGAUACGAGCCAUCGGUUCAGUGCAGCUGAUUGUGUGCCUGACAGCAGCGGCGGCGGCAGCGAUCCUAGGCUCACCGCACUGAAUCCUGGGAGACGAGAGCCAGGUCUGGAGGUUAGAGCAGACUGGGGGCCUGAGGCUGAGACACAAUGGCUUAAAGUCCAAGGCUGUUCACUGAAUUCACGACUGAUGUAAAGAUGGAGCUACAAUUUCUCCAGUCGACAUUCUCCAGUCUAGAUUUCUCCCUGACAAACGAGGAGAGGGUCUUUUUGGUGGCUGCACCCCGUUUAUGGGGCAGCCUCCCCAGUGAGGUUCGCCUGGCUUCAUUACUUUGUUCUUUUAGAUGCCAGGUAAAGACCUUUUUGUUCACUCAGGCCUUUUAAAUUUUAAAUUUAAAUUUUUAAAAAUUGUGAUCUGAUUGUAACUGAUUUCUUUAAAAAAUUAAUUGUAUUUUUAAUUGUAUCCCCCCCCCUCUUUUUUUGGUCUGUUAUGAUUUAAUGUGUGUUUUUAUAUCAUGUUUUAAUAUGAUGUAAGCUGCCCAGAAAACAAUUUGUUAUGGGGCGGCUAAUAAAUAAAGUUGUUUACGAUUGA